CAGCAGCCGCGGGAAUACGUAGGGUGCAAGCGUUAUCCGGAAUUAUUGGGCGUAAAGAGCUCGUAGGCGGUUUGUCGCGUCUGCUGUGAAAACUGGAGGCUCGACCUCCAGCCUGCAGUGGGUACGGGCAGACUAGAGUGCGGUAGGGGAGAUUGGAAUUCCUGGUGUAGCGGUGGAAUGCGCAGAUAUCAGGAGGAACACCGAUGGCGAAGGCAGAUCUCUGGGCCGUAACUGACGCUGAGGAGCGAAAGCAUGGGGAGCGAACAGGAUUAGAUACCCCCGUAGUCCCUGUCUCUUAUAC
Molecule: ribosomal RNA, 301 nt
Filed under: uncultured bacterium
Lineage: Bacteria
Description: partial 16S ribosomal RNA
Rfam family: Bacterial small subunit ribosomal RNA
Source: RNAcentral